This 465-nucleotide ribosomal RNA is filed under the name uncultured bacterium. Its description in RNAcentral is "bacterial SSU rRNA". It matches the Rfam family "Bacterial small subunit ribosomal RNA", at positions 57 to 515 of the family's 1533-position model. The record is from RNAcentral.
GCAAGUCGAGGGGUAACGGAAGUAGCUUGCUACUAGACGACGACCGGCGCACGGGUGAGUAACGCGUAUGUAAUCUGCCUUGUACAGAGGGAUAGCCCAGAGAAAUUUGGAUUAAUACCUCAUAGUAUUACUGGAUCGCAUGAUUUGGUAAUUAAAGCUCCGGCGGUACAAGAUGAACAUGCGUGACAUUAGCUAGUUGGUAAGGUAACGGCUUACCAAGGCUACGAUGUCUAGGGGUUCUGAGAGGAUGAUCCCCCACACUGGUACUGAGACACGGACCAGACUCCUACGGGAGGCAGCAGUGAGGAAUAUUGGUCAAUGGACGCAAGUCUGAACCAGCCAUCCCGCGUGAAGGAUGACUGCCCUAUGGGUUGUAAACUUCUUUUAUAUGCAAAUAAACCUACUUUCGUGAAAGUAGCUGAAGGUAGCAUAUGAAUAAACACCGGCUAACUCCGUGCCAGCAGC